GGCGUCAUAGCUCAGUUGGGAGAGCAGCAGACUGAAGUGGAAUCGUCUCCGUGGCUUGAACACGGGGGUUGAUUACGUAAUCUGAAGGUCCCGUGUUCAAGCCACGGUGAUGCCA
Molecule: non-coding RNA, 115 nt
Organism: Mycena crocata
Lineage: Eukaryota; Fungi; Basidiomycota; Agaricomycetes; Agaricales; Mycenaceae
Source: the annotation of a GenBank genome assembly